This 241-nucleotide unclassified non-coding RNA is filed under the name Hevea brasiliensis (rubber tree). Lineage: Eukaryota; Viridiplantae; Streptophyta; Magnoliopsida; Malpighiales; Euphorbiaceae. The record is from RNAcentral.
UAAUAUAGCAGCUUUUACUUUUGAAAGUGAAGAAUAGCCAGAGAAGAGGAGGAGAGGAGAAUUGAGUGAAAAGGACAAGCAGCACAUAAAGGGUAGAAGAGAUCUUAGUGGGAUAGUUUGCCUGCCAGAGGACAAGCACUGUGAUGACCACCCCCCACCUUUCUACAUUGGCAAGGAACCAAGAAAGACACAAAGAAAAUAGCAAGAUGAUGAGUUCUUAAGCUUUUGAAGGUCAAACCAA